RNAcentral lists this ribosomal RNA (448 nucleotides) under uncultured bacterium. RNAcentral describes it as "bacterial SSU rRNA". It matches the Rfam family "Bacterial small subunit ribosomal RNA", at positions 328 to 793 of the family's 1533-position model. The record is from RNAcentral.
UCAGUCGACUCCUACGGGAGGCAGCAGUGGGGAAUCUUGGACAAUGGGCGCAAGCCUGAUCCAGCCAUGCCGCGUGAGUGAUGAAGGCCCUAGGGUCGUAAAGCUCUUUCGCCAGGGAUGAUAAUGACAGUACCUGGUAAAGAAACCCCGGCUAACUCCGUGCCAGCAGCCGCGGUAAUACGGAGGGGUUAGCGUUGUUCGGAAUUACUGGGCGUAAAGCGCGCGUAGGCGGAUUAGUCAGUUAGAGGUGAAAUCCCACGGGCUCAACCCUGGAACUGCCUUUAAUACUGCUAGUCUUGAGUUCGAGAGAGGUGAGUGGAAUUCCGAGUGUAGAGGUGAAAUUCGUAGAUAUUCGGAGGAACACCAGUGGCGAAGGCGGCUCACUGGCUCGAUACUGACGCUGAGGUGCGAAAGUGUGGGGAGCAAACAGGAUUAGAUACCCUGGUAG